GGUGAGGUGGCCGAGUGGUUGAAGGCACUGGUCUUGAAAACCAGCAGGCGUUAGCGCGUCUCGUGGGUUCGAAUCCCACCCUCACCGCCA
Molecule: transfer RNA, 90 nt
Filed under: Rhodospirillales bacterium
Lineage: Bacteria; Pseudomonadati; Pseudomonadota; Alphaproteobacteria; Rhodospirillales
Description: tRNA-Ser
Rfam family: tRNA
About the family: Transfer RNA (tRNA) molecules are approximately 80 nucleotides in length. Their secondary structure includes four short double-helical elements and three loops (D, anti-codon, and T loops). Further hydrogen bonds mediate the characteristic L-shaped molecular structure. tRNAs have two regions of fundamental functional importance: the anti-codon, which is responsible for specific mRNA codon recognition, and the 3' end, to which the tRNAs corresponding amino acid is attached (by aminoacyl-tRNA synthetases). tRNAs cope with the degeneracy of the genetic code in two manners: having more than one tRNA (with a specific anti-codon) for a particular amino acid; and 'wobble' base-pairing, i.e. permitting non-standard base-pairing at the 3rd anti-codon position.
Source: RNAcentral